RNAcentral lists this long non-coding RNA (250 nucleotides) under Homo sapiens (human). RNAcentral describes it as "non-protein coding lnc-OPN1SW-2:1". The record is from RNAcentral. Lineage: Eukaryota; Metazoa; Chordata; Mammalia; Primates; Hominidae.
GCUCCCGCCGGCCUUUGUAGACCCCGAAGUUUCUGCAACCAAGCUCUUCAGACCCACAUCCCUUCUCCCAGUGACUGAACAGUCCCAGCUCCAGCUGGAGAAGGGUGUCUGCAGACCCCGCUGUUGCCUCCCAGGGGAGUCUCCAGGCCCAGCUCUCGCCCCACCGCGACCUCCCAGGCCCAAGUCCCUGCCUACCUCCCAGCAGCCCGCGUGCGACCCUGCUCCUCCCUCACGGUGGCCUGUUGAGGCA